Molecule: ribosomal RNA, 325 nt
Filed under: uncultured eukaryote
Lineage: Eukaryota
Description: partial 18S ribosomal RNA
Rfam family: Eukaryotic small subunit ribosomal RNA
Source: RNAcentral
CCCUUAGAUGUUCUGGGCCGCACGCGCGCUACACUGAUGCAUUCAACGAGCCUAUCCCUGACCGACAGGUCCGGGUAAUCUUUGAAUCUGCAUCGUGACGGGGAUAGAUUAUUGCAAUUAUUAAUCUUCAACGAGGAAUGCCUAGUAGGCGCAAGUCAUCAGCUUGCGUCGAUUACGUCCCUGCCCUUUGUACACACCGCCCGUCGCUCCUACCGAUUGGGUGUGCUGGUGAAAUGUUCGGAUCGGCCGUUUGUCGCGGUUUCCGCGUCAUGUGGCUGAGAAGUUCAUUAAACCCUCCCACCUAGAGGAAGGAGAAGUCGUAACA